RNAcentral lists this ribosomal RNA (483 nucleotides) under uncultured bacterium. Its description in RNAcentral is "bacterial SSU rRNA". It matches the Rfam family "Bacterial small subunit ribosomal RNA", at positions 30 to 504 of the family's 1533-position model. The record is from RNAcentral.
UGAACGCUGGCGGCAGGCUUAACACAUGCAAGUCGAGCGGUAACAGGGGGAGCUUGCUCCCUGCUGACGAGCGGCGGACGGGUGAGUAAUGCAUAGGAAUCUGCCCAGUAGUGGGGGAUAGCCCGGGGAAACCCGGAUUAAUACCGCAUACGCCCUUUGGGGGAAAGCAGGGGAUCUUCGGACCUUGCGCUAUUGGAUGAGCCUAUGUCGGAUUAGCUAGUUGGUGGGGUAACGGCCCACCAAGGCGACGAUCCGUAGCUGGUCUGAGAGGAUGAUCAGCCACAUCGGGACUGAGACACGGCCCGAACUCCUACGGGAGGCAGCAGUGGGGAAUAUUGGACAAUGGGGGCAACCCUGAUCCAGCCAUGCCGCGUGUGUGAAGAAGGCUUUCGGGUUGUAAAGCACUUUCAGUGAGGAGGAAAACCUUAUGGCUAAUAUCCAUGAGGCUUGACGUUACUCACAGAAGAAGCACCGGCUAACUCC